Molecule: ribosomal RNA, 501 nt
Filed under: epsilon proteobacterium ectosymbiont of Symmetromphalus aff. hageni
Lineage: Bacteria; Pseudomonadati; Campylobacterota
Description: bacterial SSU rRNA
Rfam family: Bacterial small subunit ribosomal RNA
Source: RNAcentral
AUUCACCCGAGAUGGAGAAGGUGCUUCGGGAGCUAAUAUACAGGUGCUGCACGGCUGUCGUCAGCUCGUGUCGUGAGAUGUUGGGUUAAGUCCCGCAACGAGCGCGACCCUCGUCACUAGUUACUAACGGUUCGGCCGAGGACUCUAGCGAGACUGCCUUCGUAAGGAGGAGGAAGGUGAGGACGACGUCAAGUCAUCAUGGCCCUACGGCUAGGGCAACACACGUGCUACAAUGGUUAGGACCAUGAGAAGCGAUAUCGCGAGGUGGAGCACAUCUAUAAACCUAAUCUCAGUUCGGAUUGUAGUCUGCGACUCGACUACAUGAAGCUGGAAUCACUAGUAAUCGUAGAUCAGCUAUGCUACGGUGAAUACGUUCCCGGGUCUUGUACUCACCGCCCGUCACACCAUGGGAGUUGAUUUCAACCCGAAGCGGGGGAAGCUAAACUGGCUACCCUCCACGGUGGAAUUAGCGACUGGGGUGAAGUCGUGCACAAGGUAACC